This 222-nucleotide ribosomal RNA is filed under the name uncultured bacterium. RNAcentral describes it as "partial 16S ribosomal RNA". It matches the Rfam family "Bacterial small subunit ribosomal RNA", at positions 109 to 334 of the family's 1533-position model. The record is from RNAcentral.
AGUAACACAUCGGAACGUGUCUUCUAGUGGGGGAUAACUGCCCGAAAGGGCAGCUAAUACCGCAUGAGACCUGAGGGUGAAAGCGGGGGAUCGCAAGACCUCGCGCUGGAAGAGCGGCAGAUGUCCGAUUAGCUAGUUGGUGAGGUAAAGGCUCACCAAGGCGACGAUCGGUAGCUGGUCUGAGAGGACGACCAGCCACACUGGGACUGAGACACGGCCCAG